This 90-nucleotide transfer RNA is filed under the name Bacteroides sp. Its description in RNAcentral is "tRNA-OTHER". It matches the Rfam family "tRNA". Rfam says of the family: Transfer RNA (tRNA) molecules are approximately 80 nucleotides in length. Their secondary structure includes four short double-helical elements and three loops (D, anti-codon, and T loops). Further hydrogen bonds mediate the characteristic L-shaped molecular structure. tRNAs have two regions of fundamental functional importance: the anti-codon, which is responsible for specific mRNA codon recognition, and the 3' end, to which the tRNAs corresponding amino acid is attached (by aminoacyl-tRNA synthetases). tRNAs cope with the degeneracy of the genetic code in two manners: having more than one tRNA (with a specific anti-codon) for a particular amino acid; and 'wobble' base-pairing, i.e. permitting non-standard base-pairing at the 3rd anti-codon position. Lineage: Bacteria; Pseudomonadati; Bacteroidota; Bacteroidia; Bacteroidales; Bacteroidaceae. The record is from RNAcentral.
GAGAGGAUAGCUAAGUGGACGAAGGCCACCGGCAGAUGAAAGCGCCGGUUCGGAAUACCCGACACGCAGGUUCGAAUCCUGCUCCUCUCA